ACGUGAAACAAUUACACUUAGCUACACUCAGCUAAUUUACAGGUAAUGCCACGAAUUUCUGACUAUUAUACAGGGUAUAUAAAAUAUAAAAUUAGUUUGUCUUAUUCAAAAGAACUCUUAAAAUUAUAUAUUAAACUACAUUACCAAUUUGUCGUAUCUUGCUUAGUUUUCGAAAUAUUUAGAGCGAAAUUAAUGAGCUGUGCGCCAUCUUGGACUAAUUCAGUAAUUCUUGACCUCAUUAACUAUGGUUUCGAUGACGUCAGGAGUUGGGUUAACCAUAUAAAACUACUCUAAAAUGA
Non-coding RNA from Paramuricea clavata, 299 nucleotides. The record is from the annotation of a GenBank genome assembly. Lineage: Eukaryota; Metazoa; Cnidaria; Anthozoa; Malacalcyonacea; Plexauridae.